RNAcentral lists this ribosomal RNA (468 nucleotides) under uncultured bacterium. RNAcentral describes it as "partial 16S ribosomal RNA". It matches the Rfam family "Bacterial small subunit ribosomal RNA", at positions 28 to 507 of the family's 1533-position model. The record is from RNAcentral.
GACGAACGCUGGCGGCGUGCUUAACACAUGCAAGUCGAACGGAAAGGCCCUGCUUUUGUGGGGUGCUCGAGUGGCGAACGGGUGAGUAACACGUGAGUAACCUGCCCUUGACUUUGGGAUAACUUCAGGAAACUGGGGCUAAUACCGGAUAGGAGCUCCUGCUGCAUGGUGGGGGUUGGAAAGUUUCGGCGGGUGGGGAUGGACUCGCGGCUUAUCAGCUUGUUGGUGGGGUAGUGGCUUACCAAGGCUUUGACGGGUAGCCGGCCGGAGAGGGUGACCGGCCACAUUGGGACUGAGAUACGGCCCAGACUCCUACGGGAGGCAGCAGUGGGGAAUAUUGCACAAUGGGCGGAAGCCUGAUGAAGCAACGCCGCGUGCGGGAUGACGGCCUUCGGGUUGUAAACCGCUUUCGCCUGUGACGAAGCGUGAGUGACGGUAAUGGGUAAAGAAGCACCGGCUAACUACGUG